This is a long non-coding RNA of Oreochromis aureus, 1446 nucleotides long. RefSeq lists it as uncharacterized. NCBI's taxonomy places the organism in Eukaryota, Metazoa, Chordata, Actinopteri, Cichliformes, Cichlidae. The record is from RefSeq and is a predicted model, not a curated record. The transcript has 5 exons.
AUUUGAAAUUUAUUAAGUUUAUGUUUUACAAAAACACAAGAAAAUAACUGCAAAUAACAUUACAGUGAUUUGCAAAAUAUUGCAUUCUGCUUAGGGGAGAAUUUAAAAAAAAAUAAUAAUUAAAUUAAAAAAAAAAAAUAGCAGCUGCUAUCCCAGCUCCCCUCCCCCUGCUUAGGGGAGGGAAGCUGGGAUGCUUUUACACAGCAUCCCAGCUUUCUUGGCAAUAGGGUUAUACUUUCUGUACCUUUUUCCAGUAAAUAAGGCUUAUCUUGUUAAAAUGACAGUGAAAGUGAAAGGGAUUACUUUCCGACAGUAGUGGGAACAUAUGACUGUGGACCUGGUCUUUAGUGAUGCCACUUUUAGCAUCACUGUGCCUGUCUGCUGUUUUGCUUUCUUUUUCAGUCUACAAUUACUGUAAAUGGUCUUCCUUUGUAAGAAAAUUCUGACCUAGAUGUACCUCUAUGAGAAGUGGUUGUUUCAGGUUCACCAGUGUCUUCCUCUUUUCAGUAGAAAAUCCUCUGCACUGUUGGCAUGUGUUACACUGUUGUGCAAAGACAUCUCGAUGAGUAUGGACAUACUGAAACUGGGCUUUAUUCUGGUUUUUCCAACAACCAUGUGCUUCAAAAAUUAAUGGGAAGAGACUCUUGUGAAAAGAUCGAGAGGAGAGCCGGUUGUGACUCCAUAUGAAACUCAAAUAUACUCCAAUGAAACAAAAUGUUAUUACGCUGACUGUCUGUAAAAUGAGAACACAGAGGAGCAGAGGAGGACAGUGCCGUCUGCUGUAUCAACACGGGCAGGACUUUGUUAAUGAAUGUGACCCCAGGUUCACGUUGAUGAUGAUGAUUUCUCCACCUGAUUGGUUUAACAGCAGAGGACAGUGGGAGAUACACCUGCGAGUGUAUAAAAACUGAUGGAACAUUUAAUCUUCAUGUCAAUGUCACCAUAAAAGAUGAUGUCAGUCAGAAAAGAUUAAAUCAGAAAGAGGCUCAGACUUCAGCCAAAAUGACUAAUUCCAUUUAUUUGAUUGGUGUGGCGGUUGUCAUCAGUGGAGUUAUUCUGGGAUUUAUCUUCCAAGUGAAAAGUCUAUGGGGCUGUUUGAGGUCAGAAGCAUCCGGACAGUCUAUGCAUGAAACUCACAGCUCUUUGGAACAUGAACAUGACCCAGAUGACCCCUACACAAGCCUUCAUCAGCCAGCAAAUGAUCUUUACCAAACACUUUCCUCUGAGCACCAUCACACCCAGACAAACUCAGCACAGAAACUGUCCCAACUUAAUUAUAAAGAAAUGGAUCAGAGUUGUAAAAUCUCUGAAAAAACAAAAGCUAGGUUACCACGGACUGUUGUUUGCCACAUCGUUUAAAUAUGUUUUUGCAAUGUCACAAAUGUCACGGUACUGGGUCUAUGACCCAGUGUUUUGUGUGUUUUAGUUUUAUUCUUUGAUUAUGAU